UUUGACUGAUAGUCUUGGUAAUCUUUAAUAUAUGCUCAGAGCCAGCUCAUCAUUUUUGGAAGGUGUAUUUAUGCAGUCCAGCAAGGCAUACAUCAAACUGGUGUUUGUCAUUUUCCAGUACAAUGCUAUAAGUAUUUCCCUUAAGGACCUCUCUUCUGUUGUGAAUAAAGAUCCUCAAGAAAGUUUGGGAGAUCACCCAUCUUCUCAGAGACCAAGCAAGUUUUUUCUUUGACGUAGUGGUCUGCAUUGUCCAAGCUUAGGCAGCAUAAGUCCCAAGACCGCUUCAAACCAAUGUCACUUAGAGGCUAACAGUAGGUGCACCCCAAGCCCUUCUGAAGUGUUUCCUGGUGAUAUCCAGCCCCUGACAACUCACAGAGAUACUAGGUUUUCUAUCCCUAGUGUGACAGUGUACACACGUUUGUUUGAUGGAAUGGAUGAUCAGUUCCCGUAUAACAUCACAGCACUGAGAUAUACAGCAGAGCCUCAUAGUUACGAAGACCUUGGGAAUGAGAUUUUCUUGUAACACUGGAAUGUUUGUAACUCAGAACAAAAUGUUAUGGUUGUUCUUUCAAAAGUUUACAACUGAA
Molecule: long non-coding RNA, 587 nt
Organism: Chelonoidis abingdonii (Abingdon island giant tortoise)
Lineage: Eukaryota; Metazoa; Chordata; Testudines; Testudinidae
Source: RefSeq, a predicted model, not a curated record